GAUGAACGCUAGCGGCAGGCUUAACACAUGCAAGUCGAGGGGUAUUGGUUUUCGGACCAAGAGACCGGCGCACGGGUGCGUAACGCGUAUGCAAUCUACCUUUUGCAGAGGGAUAGCCCAGAGAAAUUUGGAUUAAUACCUCAUAGUAUAGUACUUUGGCAUCAAGGAACUAUUAAAGUCACAACGGCAAAGAUGAGCAUGCGUCCCAUUAGCUAGUUGGUAAGGUAACGGCUUACCAAGGCUACGAUGGGUAGGGUCCUGAGAGGGAGAUCCCCCACACUGGUACUGAGACACGGACCAGACUCCUACGGGAGGCAGCAGUGAGGAAUAUUGGACAAUGGGCGCAAGCCUGAUCCAGCCAUGCCGCGUGCAGGAUGACGGUCCUAUGGAUUGUAAACUGCUUUUAUACAGGAAGAAACACUCCGACGUGUGGGAGCUUGACGGUACUGUAGGAUAAGGAUCGGCUAACUCCGUGCC
This 477-nucleotide ribosomal RNA is filed under the name uncultured bacterium. RNAcentral's name for it is "bacterial SSU rRNA". It matches the Rfam family "Bacterial small subunit ribosomal RNA", at positions 28 to 509 of the family's 1533-position model. The record is from RNAcentral.